Molecule: ribosomal RNA, 486 nt
Filed under: uncultured bacterium
Lineage: Bacteria
Description: partial 16S ribosomal RNA
Rfam family: Bacterial small subunit ribosomal RNA
Source: RNAcentral
AUUGAACGCUGGCGGCAUGCCUUACACAUGCAAGUCGAACGGCAGCGCGGACUUCGGUCUGGCGGCGAGUGGCGAACUGGUGAGUAAUACAUCGGAACGUACCCUGUUGUGGGGGAUAACUAGUCGAAAGAUUAGCUAAUACCCCAUACGACCUGAGGGUGAAAGUGGGGGACCGGAAACGCCCUCAUGCAGCCGCAGCUGCCGAUGUCUGAUUAGCUAGUUGGUGGGGUAAAGGCCCACCAAGGCGACGAUCAGUAGCUGGUCUGAGAGGACGAUCAGCCACACUGGGACUGAGACACGGCCCAGACUCCUACGGGAGGCAGCAGUGGGGAAUUUUGGACAAUGGGGGCAAGCCUGAUCCAGCAAUGCCGCGUGUGUGAAGAAGGCCUUCGGGUUGUAAAGCACUUUUGUCCGGAAAGAAAUCGCGCUGGUUAAUACCUGGCGUGGAUGACGGUACCGGAAGAAUAAGCACCGGCUAACUACGUG